RNAcentral lists this transfer RNA (70 nucleotides) under Cryptomonas curvata. Lineage: Eukaryota; Cryptophyceae; Cryptomonadales; Cryptomonadaceae. The record is from RNAcentral.
GCUUGUAGCGUGGUGGUUAGCGCGCUCUGCUCUGGUGCAAACGGUCUUGGGUUCGAACCCGACCAUUCCC